AUGGCUGCGGGUCAAGCCGACCGCGGUAGCGGCUUAUCUUUGGGAGAGGAGGAGAGGGGAGAAAAAGGAGAGGCCUGGCGGCGACUGAGGAGGUGCUACGCGCCGCCACCUCCACCUCGACGCGCCGCCAGAUCUCCACCUCGACGCGCCACCGGUCAUCUGCAUCCACGCGCCACCGGAAACUCCGCCUUGAACUUCGGUUUUUGUGGUGUUUCCCUCCAGUUUGUCAUGAACCACAGAAGGACGCACAGGAGCAGCAUCUGGCAUUCAGAGCCUGACAGGUUUCAUGGUUGCACACAAGCGAUGGGUCAAAGGAGCCUGCGAAAUAUUUUUGGUCCUAGGUAA
Molecule: ribosomal RNA, 345 nt
Filed under: Triticum aestivum (bread wheat)
Lineage: Eukaryota; Viridiplantae; Streptophyta; Magnoliopsida; Poales; Poaceae
Description: partial small subunit ribosomal RNA
Source: RNAcentral